RNAcentral lists this ribosomal RNA (440 nucleotides) under uncultured bacterium. Its description in RNAcentral is "partial 16S ribosomal RNA". It matches the Rfam family "Bacterial small subunit ribosomal RNA", at positions 338 to 795 of the family's 1533-position model. The record is from RNAcentral.
CCUACGGGUGGCAGCAGUGGGGAAUAUUGGUCAAUGGGGGUAACCCUGAUCCAGCGACGCCGCGUGAGUGAAGAAGUUUUUCGGUAUGUUAAGCCCUUUCAGCAGGGAAGAAAAUGGCGGUACCUGACUAAGAAGCCACGGCUAACUACGUUGCAGCAGCCGCGGCAAUACGGAGGGGGCCAGCGUUAUCCGGAUUUACUGGGUGUAAAGGGGGCGUAGUCGGCAGUGUAAGUCUGGAGUGAAAACCCAUGGCUGAACCAUGGAACUGCUGUGGAAACUGUGCAGCUAGAGUGUAUGAGAGGUAAGCGGAAUGCGUAGUGUAGCGGUGAAAUGCGUAGAUAUCAGGAGGAACACCAGUGGCGAAGGCGGCUUACUGGACUAUAACUGACGUUGAUGCUCGAAAGCGUGGGGAGCAAACAGGAUUAGAUACCCUGGUAGUC